This 406-nucleotide ribosomal RNA is filed under the name uncultured bacterium. RNAcentral describes it as "partial 16S ribosomal RNA". It matches the Rfam family "Bacterial small subunit ribosomal RNA", at positions 30 to 526 of the family's 1533-position model. The record is from RNAcentral.
AUUGAACGCUGGCGGCAGGCCUAACACAUGAAAGUCGAACGAGUGGCGGACGGGUGAGUAAUGUCUGGGAAACUGACUGAUGGAGGGGGAUAACUACUGGAAACGGUAGAUAAUACCGCAUACCAUCAGAUGUUCCCAGAUGGGAUUAGCUUGUUGGUGGGGUAACGGCUCACCAAGGCGAGUAUACCUAGCUGGUCUGAGAGGAUGACCAGCCACACUGGAACUGAGACACGGUCCAGACUCCUACGGGAGGCAGUAGGGGGGAAUAUUGCACAAUGGGCGCAAGCCUGAUGCUGCCAUGCCGCGUGUAUGAAGAAGGCCUUCGGGUUGUAAAGUACUUUCAGCGGGGAGGCGUGACCCGCAGAAGAAUCACCGGCUAACUCCGUGCCAGCAGCCGCGGUAAUUC